GAUGAACGCUGGCGGCGUGCCUAAUACAUGCAAGUCGAGCGAACAGAUGAGGAGCUUGCUCCUCUGACGUUAGCGGCGGACGGGUGAGUAACACGUGGAUAACCUACCUAUAAGACUGGGAUAACUUCGGGAAACCGGAGCUAAUACCGGAUAAUAUAUUGAACCGCAUGGUUCAAUAGUGAAAGACGGUUUUGCUGUCACUUAUAGAUGGAUCCGCGCCGCAUUAGCUAGUUGGUAAGGUAACGGCUUACCAAGGCGACGAUGCGUAGCCGACCUGAGAGGGUGAUCGGCCACACUGGAACUGAGACACGGUCCAGACUCCUACGGGAGGCAGCAGGAGGGAAUCUUCCGCAAUGGGCGAAAGCCUGACGGAGCAACGCCGCGUGAGUGAUGAAGGUCUUCGGAUCGUAAAACUCUGUUAUUAGGGAAGAACAAAUGUGUAAGUAACUAUGCACGUCUGGACGGUACCUAAUCAGAAAGCCACGGCUAACUACGU
RNAcentral lists this ribosomal RNA (496 nucleotides) under uncultured bacterium. RNAcentral describes it as "partial 16S ribosomal RNA". It matches the Rfam family "Bacterial small subunit ribosomal RNA", at positions 28 to 506 of the family's 1533-position model. The record is from RNAcentral.